AAUCGAACCCGGAGAUAGCUGGUUCUCCUCGAAAUAGCUUUAGGGCUAGCCUUCAGUUAGUCUGCCGCAGGUAGAGCACUGAAUUUCCUAGGGGGCGUCAAAGCCUACCGAAGAAUAUCAAACUGCGAAUGGCGGACAGAUGAUGCUGGGGAGUCAGACUGCACGAGAUAAGUUGGGUGGUCAAAAGGGAAAGAGCCCAGACCUACAGCUAAGGUCCCAAAGUGCGUGUUAAGUGGAAAAGGAUGUGGGAUUUCGAAGACAACUAGGAUGUUGGCUCAGAAGCAGCCACACAUUAAAAGAGUGCGUAAUAGCUCACUAGUCGAGAGGUCCUGCGCCGAAAAUGUCCGGGGCUGAAACACGACACCGAAGCUUAGGAACAGAAAUGUUGGUAGAGGAGCAUUGUUAGCGGAACGAAGCCAUACCGGAAGGAGUGGUGGACUGCUAAGAAGAGAGAAUGCCGGAAUGAGUAGCGAGAUUGAAGUGAGAAUCUUCAAGGCCGAAUAUCUAAGGUUUCCAGGGUAAAGCUGAUCUGCCCUGGGUAAGUCGGGGCCUAAGGCGAGGUCGAAAGACGUAGCCGAUGGACAACAGGUUGAAAUUCCUGUACUGCGAUAUAUCAGAAAUGUGGGGACACAGAAGGAAAGUGUGAGCCGGGAAAGGAAAGACCGGUGCAAGCACAGGAGGAGAGAUACAGGCAAAUCCGUAUUUCAAUCCAAUGGUGUUACGCGGAGCGAACAAAAGUAGCGAAGCACACAGACCAUCUGUCGAGAAAAGCCGCUAUUGUGUAUACCGUACCCGUACCGUAAACCGACACAGGUGGAUGAGGAGAGAAUCCUAAGGCCGGCGGGAGAAGCAUUGUUAAGGAACUCGGCAAAAUGACCCCGUAACUUCGGGAGAAGGGGUGCUCACGCAAGUGAGCCGCAGAGAACUGGCCCAAGCAACUGUUUAGCAAAAACACAGGUCUAUGCAAAACCGAAAGGUGAGGUAUAUGGGCUGACGCCUGCCCGGUGCUGGAAGGUUAAGAGGAGAUGUUAGAGCAAUCGAAGCAUUGAAUUUAAGCCCCAGUAAACGGCGGCCGUAACUAUAACGGUCCUAAGGUAGCGAAAUUCCUUGUCGGGUAAGUUCCGACCCGCACGAAAGGCGUAAUGAUUUGGGCACUGUCUCGACAAUGCACCCGGUGAAAUUGAAAUACCAGUGAAGAUGCUGGUUACCUGCGCCAGGACGGAAAGACCCCAUGGAGCUUUACUCUAGCUUGAUACUGGGAUUCGGUAUUGCAUGUACAGGAUAGGUGGGAGACGAAGAGGUGAUGACGCCAGUUGUCACGGAGUCGAUGUUGGGAUACCACCCCUGCAGUACUGGGUUUCUAACCUGCGGCCGUGACCCGGCCGGGGGACAAUGUCUGGUGGGGAGUUUGACUGGGGCGGUCGCCUCCGAAAGGGUAUCGGAGGCGCUCAAAGGUUCCCUCAGAAUGGUUGGAAACCAUUCGAAGAGUGCAAAGGCAGAAGGGAGCUUGACUGCGACACCGACGGGUGGAGCAGGUACGAAAGUAGGACUUAGUGAUCCGGUGGUAUAAAGUGGGAUUGCCAUCGCUCAACGGAUAAAAGCUACCCUGGGGAUAACAGGCUUAUCACUCCCAAGAGUUCACAUCGACGGAGUGGUUUGGCACCUCGAUGUCGGCUCAUCGCAUCCUGGGGCUGUAGUAGGUCCCAAGGGUUGGGCUGUUCGCCCAUUAAAGCGGUACGCGAGCUGGGUUCAGAACGUCGUGAGACAGUUCGGUCCCUAUCCGGCGUGGGCGUAGGAUAUCUGAGAGGAGCUGUCCUUAGUACGAGAGGACCGGGAUGGACUGACCUCUGGUGCAUCGGUUGAGCCACCAGGCUCAUGGCCGAGUAGCCAAGUCGGGACGGGAUAAACGCUGAAGGCAUCUAAGCGUGAAGCCCCCCUCAAGAUGAGAUAUCCCAUAGAGUUAAUCUAGUAAGACCCCUUGA
Molecule: ribosomal RNA, 1982 nt
Filed under: human gut metagenome
Description: bacterial LSU rRNA
Rfam family: Bacterial large subunit ribosomal RNA
Source: RNAcentral